CUACGGGAGGCAGCAGUGAGGAAUAUUGGACAAUGGUCGAAAGACUGAUCCAGCCAUGCCGCGUGCAGGAUGAAUGCCCUAUGGGUUGUAAACUGCUUUUAUACGGGAAGAACACCAACCACGUGUGGGUGACUGACGGUACCGUAAGAAUAAGGACCGGCUAACUCCGUGCCAGCAGCCGCGGUAAUACGGAGGGUCCAAGCGUUAUCCGGAAUCAUUGGGUUUAAAGGGUCCGUAGGCGGGCUAUUAAGUCAGAGGUGAAAGUUUGCAGCUCAACUGUAAAAUUGCCUUUGAUACUGGUAGUCUUGAGUUAUAGUGAAGUGGUUAGAAUAUGUGGUGUAGCGGUGAAAUGCAUAGAUAUCACAUAGAAUACCAAUUGCGAAGGCAGAUCACUAACUAUAUACUGACGCUGAUGGACGAAAGCGUGGGGAGCGAACGGGAUUAGAUACCCCGGUAGUCCACGCCGUAAACGAUGGAUACUAGCUGUUGGAUUUUUUCAGUGGCUAAGCGAAAGUGAUAAGUAUCCCACCUGGGGAGUACGUUCGCAAGAAUGAAACUCAAAG
RNAcentral lists this ribosomal RNA (563 nucleotides) under uncultured bacterium. Its description in RNAcentral is "bacterial SSU rRNA". It matches the Rfam family "Bacterial small subunit ribosomal RNA", at positions 339 to 906 of the family's 1533-position model. The record is from RNAcentral.